AUUGAACGCUAGCGGCAGGCCUAACACAUGCAAGUCGAGCGAGCGACGGACGGGUGAGUAAUGUAUGGGGACCGCCCGAACGAGGGGGAUAACUACUGGAAACGGUAUCUAAUCCCGCAUACUAUCGGAUAAACCAUAUGGUAUUAGCUAGUAGGUGAGGUAAUGGCUCACCUAGUCGACUAUCCCUAGCUGGUCUGAGAGGAUGAUCAGCCACACUGGGACUGAGAAACGGCCCAGAUUCCGACGGAGGCAGAAGUGGGGAAUAUUGCACAAGGGGCGCAAGCCUGAUGCAGCCAUGCCGCGUGUAUGAAGAAGGCCCUAGGGUUGUAAAGUACUUUCAGUCGGGAGGCGUUACCGACAGAGGAAGCACCGGCUAACUCCGUGCCAGCAGCCGCGGUAAUAC
Molecule: ribosomal RNA, 403 nt
Filed under: uncultured bacterium
Lineage: Bacteria
Description: partial 16S ribosomal RNA
Rfam family: Bacterial small subunit ribosomal RNA
Source: RNAcentral